This is a transfer RNA of 77 nucleotides. It matches the Rfam family "tRNA". Rfam says of the family: Transfer RNA (tRNA) molecules are approximately 80 nucleotides in length. Their secondary structure includes four short double-helical elements and three loops (D, anti-codon, and T loops).
GGGCCGUUGGCGCAGUUGGCUAGCGCGCUUCCAUGGCAUGGAAGAGGUCGUGGGUUCGAAUCCCACACGGUCCACCA